RNAcentral lists this long non-coding RNA (631 nucleotides) under Linum usitatissimum (flax). RNAcentral describes it as "long non-coding RNA (LUSI_LNC004003)". Lineage: Eukaryota; Viridiplantae; Streptophyta; Magnoliopsida; Malpighiales; Linaceae. The record is from RNAcentral.
GCAACUGCAGUUUCUUCCUACGAACUUCAAACGGAGAAGAAAGCAAAAAGGGGGAGAAAAAAAGUUGCAGACUUUCAAUCAGUCCACCAGCAACUCCAAAUUCUUCCAAUCCAAUUCCAUUUCCACCCACAAAAAAUUUCUCACUCACUGGUAUGCUCCCCCCCACACACUUAAAUAAUUAUGCGCCUUUGAUUCUUCGGGAUUUUAUUCCACCCCCAAAAAAAUCAAGUUGUUUGUAAGCUCUCGCCACUAUCCGAUCAUGGCUUGUUUCCCAGCAUUUCCUUCUCCAUUCAUGUCCAAUCUUCUUAUCGUAAGUAUUUUGUAUGCUUAGGGUUUCUGGGCUUACGUUUCUUUUUUCAUUUCUUAAUCCCGUCGUUUCAUACUGUUCGUCCGUAUUUAGGGUUUUGAAAAAUUGAUCAGAUCUUCUGAUGCUACGUACUGUUGAAUUGAAUUGGGUAAGAGUUUCUUCCCCUUGGGUUGGAUUGGAUUGGAUGAAUUUGAUUCUGUUUCACUGCUGCGAUGUUUCUGUUGUUUAUCUCUGGCUUUAGGGUUCAGUCAACUGUGCUCCAUUUCCUUAAAUUGGUCCGGUCAACUGUAACGUUUGAUUAAUUUGGUGUAAUUGAACUUUCAG